This 520-nucleotide unclassified non-coding RNA is filed under the name uncultured Glomus. RNAcentral's name for it is "SSU rRNA". It matches the Rfam family "Eukaryotic small subunit ribosomal RNA", at positions 569 to 1090 of the family's 1831-position model. Lineage: Eukaryota; Fungi; Glomeromycota; Glomeromycetes; Glomerales; Glomeraceae. The record is from RNAcentral.
AGCAGCCGCGGUAAUUCCAGCUCCAAUAGCGUAUAUUAAAGUUGCUGCAGUUAAAAAGCUCGUAGUUGAAUUUCGGGAUCAUCAUGUCGGUCGUGCCUCGGUACGUACUGGCAUUGUUGGUUUCUACCUUCUGACGAACCAUGAUGUCAUUAUUGGUGUCGUGGGAAAUCAGGACUGUUACUUUGAAAAAAUUAGAGUGUUUAAAGCAGGCUAACGCUUGAAUACAUUAGCAUGGAAUAAUGAAAUAGGACGUUCGAUCCCAUUUUGUUGGUUUCUAGGAUUGACGUAAUGAUUAAUAGGGAUAGUUGGGGGCAUUAGUAUUCAAUUGUCAGAGGUGAAAUUCUUGGAUUUAUUGAAGACUAACUACUGCGAAAGCAUUUUGCCAAGGAUGUUUUCAUUAAGUCAAGAACGAAAGUUAGGGGAUCGAAGACGAUCAGAUACCGUCGUAGUCUUAACCAUAAACUAUGCCGACUAGGGAUCGGAUGAUGUUAAUUUUUUCAAUGACUCAUUCGGCGCCUUA